Molecule: long non-coding RNA, 859 nt
Organism: Pseudophryne corroboree (corroboree frog)
Lineage: Eukaryota; Metazoa; Chordata; Amphibia; Anura; Myobatrachidae
Exons: 4
Source: RefSeq, a predicted model, not a curated record
GAGCCGGUGGCUGCCCAGCUGCUCAGGGAGCGCUGGGCCCACUCCCAAAAUGGCGAAAAUGGACCAUCGUGCGUAGCCACGCCCACUCGGCCGUAGCCACGUCCCUCACACCCGAGGCCACACACCCUUUUCAGGACGCGCACGGCUACGACGCGCCGAGUGUCCCGACUUGGAAAGAUUAAAAGUUGGGAGUGUGUGUAUCUAGUGUGAGAAUGGGACGCAGGAAGUAACAGCAGCGCAGUGAUCUCACGGCGAUCUCACCCUUUGCCUCCUUAAAGCCCCCGGCUGUGUUCUAGAACUGUCAGCUUUGCAGCCUCUGGACUUGUCCCGUAUUUCAUUUAAUUGUUCUCUAGACUGCUGCAAACACAGGGCUGGCUGGUGAAUUCCAAAGGUUCGUCCUGGCCCUGAGCACGAGUUACUCUAGGUGUUAAACCUCGACCGAAGUGUUCUUCUAAUCUACCGCCCCUUUGGAGUAUGAGUGUGGCACAGCUGCGAUUAAACUUAUAUACUUUACAUCAACGGAAGGCAACCACUUUCAAGACAAAUAAUUUAUUGAACUGGAUCCGUGAACACCGUUGUCCUCUAUACCAUGGACACUGGAAAGGUCUAGAUAAAGGUCACACAUCAGGGGCACAUCAGCGAUAUAUGAAAACACUAGAUAAUAUACAGGUCACAGUAAGUGGGAAACAUCAUUCUGACGGCGCAAUUCAUGUCACUGUCACUAUGAAUAAAAGACAGGGAUAAUUAUAUGCAGUCUGACAGCCCCUUCAUAUAUUUUGAAAACUCUCUCUUCUAAUUAUGUACAAAGGAUUCUGGUGUGAAAACAUGUAUUUCAGAGACUAAAUAACAACUGAUUAAA